This 482-nucleotide ribosomal RNA is filed under the name uncultured bacterium. RNAcentral's name for it is "bacterial SSU rRNA". It matches the Rfam family "Bacterial small subunit ribosomal RNA", at positions 1047 to 1529 of the family's 1533-position model. The record is from RNAcentral.
GGUUGUCGUCAGCUCGUGUCGUGAGAUGUUGGGUUAAGUCCCGCAACGAGCGCAACCCCUAUCUUCAGUAGCCAGCAUUUUGGAUGGGCACUCUGGAGAGACUGCCAGGGACAACCUGGAGGAAGGUGGGGAUGACGUCAAAUCAUCAUGCCCCUUAUGGCCAGGGCUACACACGUGCUACAAUGGCGUAAACAAAGGGAAGCAGCCGUGUGAAUGUGAGCAAAUCCCAAAAAUAACGUCUCAGUUCGGAUUGUAGUCUGCAACUCGACUACAUGAAGCUGGAAUCGCUAGUAAUCGCGAAUCAGAAUGUCGCGGUGAAUACGUUCCCGGGUCUUGUACACACCGCCCGUCACACCAUGGGGGUCAGUAACGCCCGAAGCCGGUGACCUAACCGAAAGGGAGGAGCCGUCGAAGGUGGGACCGAUAACUGGGGUGAAGUCGUAACAAGGUAGCCGUAUCGGAAGGUGCGGUUGGAUCACCUC